Molecule: ribosomal RNA, 885 nt
Filed under: uncultured bacterium
Lineage: Bacteria
Description: bacterial SSU rRNA
Rfam family: Bacterial small subunit ribosomal RNA
Source: RNAcentral
GUGCCAGCAGCCGCGGUAAAACGUAGGUCACAAGCGUUGUCCGGAAUUACUGGGUGUAAAGGGAGCGCAGGCGGGGAAGCAAGUUGGAAGUGAAAUCUACGGGCUCAACUCGUAAACUGCUUUCAAAACUGCUUCUCUUGAGUAGUGCAGAGGUAAGCGGAAUUCCCGGUGUAGCGGUGGAAUGCGUAGAUAUCGGGAGGAACACCAGUGGCGAAGGCGGCUUACUGGGCACCAACUGACGCUGAGGCUCGAAAGCAUGGGUAGCAAACAGGAUUAGAUACCCUGGUAGUCCAUGCCGUAAACGAUGAUUACUAGGUGUUGGAGGAUUGACCCCUUCAGUGCCGCAGUUAACACAAUAAGUAAUCCACCUGGGGAGUACGACCGCAAGGUUGAAACUCAAAGGAAUUGACGGGGGCCCGCACAAGCAGUGGAGUAUGUGGUUUAAUUCGACGCAACGCGAAGAACCUUACCAAGUCUUGACAUCGAGUGACGGAGCUAGAAAUAGUUCUUCCCUUCGGGGCACGAAGACAGGUGGUGCAUGGUUGUCGUCAGCUCGUGUCGUGAGAUGUUGGGUUAAGUCCCGCAACGAGCGCAACCCUUAUGCUUAGUUACUACGCAAGAGGACUCUAGGCAGACUGCCGUUGACAAAACGGAGGAAGGUGGGGAUGACGUCAAAUCAUCAUGCCCUUUAUGACUUGGGCUACACACGUACUACAAUGGCGUUUAACAAAGAGAAGCGAGACCGCGAGGUGGAGCAAAACUCAAAAACAACGUCCCAGUUCAGAUUGCAGGCUGCAACUCGCCUGCAUGAAGUCGGAAUUGCUAGUAAUCGCAGAUCAGAAUGCUGCGGUGAAUACGUUCCCGGGCCUUGUACACACCGCCCGU